GAGUAAUAUAUAGUUAAUGUACCUCGAAGACCGGGAUAGCCAUUGGAAACGAUGAUUAAUACUGAAUACUCCUUCUCUACAUAAGUAGAGUCGGUAAAUGUUUUUCGCUUUGAGAUCAGACUAUAUCCCAUCAGUUAGUUGGUAGUGUAAGAGACUACCAAGGCAAUCACGGGUAGCGGGUUUGAGAGGAUGAUCCGCCACACUGGUACUGAGACACGGACCAGACUCCUACGGGAGGCAGCAGUGAGGAAUAUUGCACAAUGGAGGAAACUCUGAUGCAGCAACGCCGCGUGGAGGAUGACGCAUUUCGGUGUGUAAACUCCUUUUACGAGUCAAGAAAAUGACGGUAGCUCGUGAAUAAGCACCGGCUAACUCCGUGCCAGCAGCCGCGGUAAUACGGAGGGUGCAAGCGUUACUCGGAAUCACUGGGCGUAAAGGACGCGUAGGCGGGUUGGAAAGUCUGAUGUGAAAUCCUACAGCUUAACUGUAGAACUGCAUUGGAAACUUCUAAUCUAGAGUAUGGGAGGGGGAGAUGGAAUUAGUGGUGUAGGGGUAAAAUCCGUAGAUAUCACUAGGAAUACCGAAAGCGAAGGCGAUCUCCUGGAACAUAACUGACGCUAAGGCGUGAAAGCGUGGGGAGCAAACGGGAUUAGAUACCCCGGUAGUCCACGCCCUAAACGAUGAACACUAGUCGUCGGGAUGCUAGUCAUCUCGGUGAUGCACUUAACAGAUUAAGUGUUCCGCCUGGGGAGUACGGUCGCAAGAUUAAAACUCAAAGGAAUAGACGGGGACCCGCACAAGUGGUGGAGCAUGUGGUUUAAUUCGAAGAUACGCGAAGAACCUUACCUAGCCUUGACAUUGAUAGAACGGACCAGAGAUGGACCGGUGCCCUUCGGGGAACUUGAAAACAGGUGCUGCACGGCUGUCGUCAGCUCGUGUCGUGAGAUGUUGGGUUAAGUCCCGCAACGAGCGCAACCCUCGUCCUUAGUUGCCAGCAGGUUAAGCUGGGCACUCUAAGGAGACUGCCUUCGUAAGGAGGAGGAAGGUGAGGACGACGUCAAGUCAUCAUGGCCCUUACGGCUAGGGCUACACACGUGCUACAAUGGGGCGUACAGAGUGUUGCGAUGCCGCGAGGUGGAGCUAAUCACUUAAAGCGUCUCUCAGUUCGGAUUGGAGUCUGCAACUGGACUCCAUGAA
This 1197-nucleotide ribosomal RNA is filed under the name uncultured Campylobacterota bacterium. RNAcentral describes it as "bacterial SSU rRNA". It matches the Rfam family "Bacterial small subunit ribosomal RNA", at positions 108 to 1324 of the family's 1533-position model. The record is from RNAcentral. Lineage: Bacteria; Pseudomonadati; Campylobacterota.